GGGGGACCUUCGGGCCUCUUGCCAUCGGAUGUGCCCAGAUGGGAUUAGCUUGUUGGUGGGGUAACGGCUCACCAAGGCGACGAUCCCUAGCUGGUCUGAGAGGAUGACCAGCCACACUGGAACUGAGACACGGUCCAGACUCCUACGGGAGGCAGCAGUGGGGAAUAUUGCACAAUGGGCGCAAGCCUGAUGCAGCCAUGCCGCGUGUAUGAAGAAGGCCUUCGGGUUGUAAAGUACUUUCAGCGGGGAGGAAGGGAGUAAAGUUAAUACCUUUGCUCAUUGACGUUACCCGCAGAAGAAGCACCGGCUAACUCCGUGCCAGCAGCCGCCGUAAUCCGGAGGGUCAAGCUCCAAUCGGAAUUACUGGGCGUAAAGCGCACGCAGGCGGUUG
RNAcentral lists this ribosomal RNA (391 nucleotides) under Escherichia coli. Its description in RNAcentral is "bacterial SSU rRNA". It matches the Rfam family "Bacterial small subunit ribosomal RNA", at positions 194 to 581 of the family's 1533-position model. The record is from RNAcentral. Lineage: Bacteria; Pseudomonadati; Pseudomonadota; Gammaproteobacteria; Enterobacterales; Enterobacteriaceae.